AAAUUGAAGAGUUUGAUCAUGGCUCAGAUUGAACGCUGGCGGCAGGCCUAACACAUGCAAGUCGAACGGUAACAGGAAGCAGCUUGCUGUUUCGCUGACGAGUGGCGGACGGGUGAGUAAUGUCUGGGAAACUGCCUGAUGGAGGGGGAUAACUACUGGAAACGGUAGC
This 169-nucleotide ribosomal RNA is filed under the name Escherichia coli. RNAcentral's name for it is "partial 16S ribosomal RNA". It matches the Rfam family "Bacterial small subunit ribosomal RNA", at positions 1 to 163 of the family's 1533-position model. Lineage: Bacteria; Pseudomonadati; Pseudomonadota; Gammaproteobacteria; Enterobacterales; Enterobacteriaceae. The record is from RNAcentral.